RNAcentral lists this ribosomal RNA (373 nucleotides) under uncultured organism. RNAcentral's name for it is "bacterial SSU rRNA". It matches the Rfam family "Bacterial small subunit ribosomal RNA", at positions 526 to 895 of the family's 1533-position model. The record is from RNAcentral.
CGUAGGGGGCAAGCGUUGUUCGGAAUUACUGGGCGUAAAGGGCGCGUAGGCGGCACGGCAAGUCGGGAGUGAAAGGCCUGGGCUCAACCGAGGAAUGGCUUUCGAGACUGCCGAGCUAGAGUGCGGAAGGGGCAACUGGAAUUCCCAGUGUAGCGGUGAAAUGCGUAGAUAUUGGGAAGAACACCGGAGGCGAAGGCGGGUUGCUGGGCCGACACUGACGCUGAUGCGCGAAAGCCAGGGGAGCAAACGGGAUUAGAUACCCCGGUAGUCCUGGCCCUAAACGAUGGAUACUUGGUGUGUGGGGUUCUUCGAGUCCCCGCGUGCCGGAGCUAACGCGGUAAGUAUCCCGCCUGGGGAGUACGGUUGCAAGGCU